GAAUGUGAGGGUGUUCUGGAGAGGACUUCUGUCAACCCUUUGAUUGCCAGGAUCAAUUUGGCUGAACUGAGUGACUAGGCAGAUGCCCACUUUCUCCUCUUACAGUUCUAGGCUUGUUCCUCCUGAGACUGGUUCUAUGACAGUCUUAUCUGAGAAAGGAAAAUUCUUUUUCAGUCAAAGGAAGAGCCAAAUAAUUGCACUCUCCUAAUAGCAUAUAGAAUUUAAAAUUUUUUAUUGAAACAUGCAACUGUAAAAGUUUGGACUUAAAUGGGCUUCUUUUUCUU
Equus caballus (horse) is the source of this 284-nucleotide non-coding RNA. Lineage: Eukaryota; Metazoa; Chordata; Mammalia; Perissodactyla; Equidae. The record is from Rfam.